This 963-nucleotide long non-coding RNA is filed under the name Falco tinnunculus (common kestrel). RNAcentral describes it as "lncRNA (ENSFTIG00000009812.1)". The record is from RNAcentral. Lineage: Eukaryota; Metazoa; Chordata; Aves; Falconiformes; Falconidae.
CACAACGUGGGCCCCGAAGCCGGCCUGGGCUUGGUGCCCCCAAAGGUUUUUCUUCCAACCUAAAUAAUUCUGUACAUCCACGGGGCUGCCUGCCCACCUCAGUGCCGGCCCGGUGCGUCUCUUUGGAAAUCUAAUUUCCUCGUAGUUUAUUGUAGCGCAAUGUGCCUAAGGAGAACAGGACACAUAAUAAAAUACAUCUGCGUGAAACCCCGUUAUUGCCCGUCAAAACUCGUCUGCUGGCAAAUCACGGUGCAAAAGGCGGCUGGGAGCUGGAACCGAAGGGCUCGCUGCACCGGGGGGCUCUGGCACAGCUCCCCACUCGUAUUCCUGGGUCCGUUGGGGAAGGUUUCUCCUCUGCCAGUGAAGUUCCUGAUCACCACGGAGCAGCGCUGAGGCUUGGGGUGUUCGAGCAAGGAGCAAAGGAGGACAUGGGGCACGUCCCUCUUGGAAGCUCAGGUGGCCGUGGUUGGAGAGACGUUACACCUGGAUGCAGUGAUUUGGGAUGCUUUCCAUGGCACCUCUCUCCCAGCCUGGCAGAGUAGUCUUGCUCAGUCCUCCGCACAAGAGCGGUCCUGUUGCUGUCUGUGAAGCCGUCCAGACCAAAUGUACAAGUGGAAGGCACAGCCUGAGGGGAAGAGCCUCUGGCUGCUGCACUGCAGGGAUGCUUGCAGACACAGCCCUGCUCCUGCACAAGCCUCCCACCGCUGCUGGACUCCUGACUCUUGCAGAAGGCACUGCUCUACCCCAGGGUCUGAAUCCUGCUCACGCCGCACCUUCCAGACCCCCCAGCAGGAGCAGAGGAGGCACAGAGGUGGCCCAGAGUUGGCAGAGGGGACAGUCACCAUUUCAUACCUCCAGACACCCGGGCAAAGCCGAUUCUUAGGAGCUGCAGCCUCCCACCUUGCAACCACAGCCACGCAGGCAGCGCCUGGGGACCGGGAGGGACCAGCUGCUCAUGUGGCC